Molecule: ribosomal RNA, 255 nt
Filed under: Streptococcus danieliae
Lineage: Bacteria; Bacillati; Bacillota; Bacilli; Lactobacillales; Streptococcaceae
Description: Streptococcus sp. ERD01G Bacterial small subunit ribosomal RNA
Rfam family: Bacterial small subunit ribosomal RNA
Source: Rfam by way of RNAcentral
UGCCGGUAAUAAACCGGAGGAAGGUGGGGAUGACGUCAAAUCAUCAUGCCCCUUAUGACCUGGGCUACACACGUGCUACAAUGGCUGGUACAACGAGCGGCAAGUCGGUGACGGCAAGCAAAUCUCUUAAAGCCAGUCUCAGUUCGGAUUGUAGGCUGCAACUCGCCUACAUGAAGUCGGAAUCGCUAGUAAUCGCGGAUCAGCACGCCGCGGUGAAUACGUUCCCGGGCCUUGUACACACCGCCCGUCACACCA